GUCCAGGCUCCCUCGAUCUUUCCCUCGAGGCCGCUCAACUGUGCCGGACGUGUGUCUGGGAUGUCCAGCAACAAUUUGCACAUUCAUGUAUAAAUUGUUGCUGGACAUUUUUUAUUAUUUGAGUUUACUCCAAAACCUCACCCCAUGUGCAGCGCUAUUAUAAAAAAGGUUACUCUCAACCUUACACGCAGUACACAACAUUCGCCUGAAAUAAAGAUGUCGCUCCGGCAGCCAGUAGAGACGCAGUGAAAAAUACUUGUCCUCGAGUAACCAACGCGUUCUACUGGGAACGACCCAGCGGCGAACACCCGGCGAAAGAAAUACCAGCUGCUGUGAACAUACUGCUGAUUUAUAAUUUGGAUACUUUGUUUUAAAACGGCCCAAAAUACUGUUGACAUUUCAGUAUUUUUAUCAUUUGAUAUAUGAAUGUUUAGUGAUGCUUCUUAAUAUUAUUUUUGAUAUUGUGUUCAAUUUGUAUACUUUAGAUAUAAUUUCAUCCGGCACUUUAUUGAUUUGAUUUUUUUUUCUUGUGAAUGAUGUGUCAACAGUAUUUUUAUUCUCUACCCUUGUAUAAUUAAGUUUAGUCCCCGGACGGCAGAGGCGGUCUGAUUGUAACACUAGUCCUGGGAGCUGGCCUAAAGGAAAGAGAUCUGCUAUACAUGAAUGUAAUGGCUUUGAAGCCAGAACUAACCACUGAGUCAUCCUUUACCCGCAACAAAACUUAUUUUCGUUAUUUUAAGGUAAUGCUUGUUAUAUUAUAAUUUAUGUUGACAAUCACAAAUGCAUGCAUCACAACGAGCGUAUAUGUAUCUGUACUAGUAAGUAAAAAAAUAUUAUAAGUAAUGCCAGUUAUAUUCCAAUCGACAAGAUAUCAAUGAGAGAAUAUGUAAAUCUAUACUUUAAGGUAAUAAAAUAACUGUAAGGCAAAUGGAAGUAGUGACGCAAUAUUAUAAUCGUACUAUUCAUGUAUUAGGAUAUAUUCAUUGAAUCAAAUCUCGAUGUCAGUAGCAUUAAAUAUAUGGUAUUUAAUCUCAAGUAGUAUUGAAUGUAUCGUAUUUAAUCUGUAGUAGAAUUCUAUGUAUCGUAUUUAUCCAUAGUAGUAGUUAAGAAGAGGUUAAUUAAUUAAGAGCAACAUCAAGAAGUAUUCACAAGCAGCAGUUAGUAUAUAUGUCUUAGCGUUUAUGAACGUAAUAUUCUUAUUAAUAUAAUUAAAUAGGUAAGGCAAGA
Molecule: long non-coding RNA, 1227 nt
Organism: Manduca sexta (tobacco hornworm)
Lineage: Eukaryota; Metazoa; Arthropoda; Insecta; Lepidoptera; Sphingidae
Exons: 2
Source: RefSeq, a predicted model, not a curated record